This 253-nucleotide ribosomal RNA is filed under the name uncultured bacterium. Its description in RNAcentral is "partial 16S ribosomal RNA". It matches the Rfam family "Bacterial small subunit ribosomal RNA", at positions 524 to 776 of the family's 1533-position model. The record is from RNAcentral.
UACGGAGGGUGCAAGCGUUGUUCGGAAUUACUGGGCGUAAAGCGCGUGUAGGCGGUUGCGUAAGUCUGAUGUGAAAGCCCGGGGCUCACCCCCGGAAGAGCAUUGGAAACUGCGCGACUAGAGUGCCGGAGAGGAGGGUGGAAUUCCUGGUGUAGCGGUGAAAUGCGUAGAUAUCAGGAGGAACACCGGUGGCGAAGGCGGCCCUCUGGACGGAUACUGACGCUGAGACGCGAAAGCGUGGGGAGCAAACAGG